GGAAUUUUGUUAAAAUGCAGAAUCCAUUUCUGUAGCUCUGAGACUAGACCUGAGGUUGUGCAUUUCUAACAAAGUGCC
This is a microRNA precursor of Homo sapiens (human), 78 nucleotides long. The record is from Ensembl. NCBI's taxonomy places the organism in Eukaryota, Metazoa, Chordata, Mammalia, Primates, Hominidae.